Molecule: ribosomal RNA, 461 nt
Filed under: uncultured bacterium
Lineage: Bacteria
Description: partial 16S ribosomal RNA
Rfam family: Bacterial small subunit ribosomal RNA
Source: RNAcentral
UGAGCGCUGACAGAAUGCUUAACACAUGCAAGUCGAUGGGGAAGUGGUGCUUGCACCAUGGCAACCAUGGCGGACGGGUGAGUAACGCGUAAGGGACUUACCUGCAGGACUGGGAUAACAGGGGGAAACUCCUGACAAGACCGGAUAAUGUCAUGGAGCUGCAUGGCUUUAUGAUGAAAGGAGACGCCUGCGGAGAGCCUUGCGUCCUAUUAGCUAGUUGGUGAGGUAAUGGCUCACCAAGGCGAAGAUAGGUAGCCGGCCUGAGAGGGUGGACGGCCACAAGGGGACUGAGAUACGGCCCUUACCCCUACGGGAGGCGGCAGUGGGGAAUAUUGGACAAUGGGGGCAACCCUGAUCCAGCAAUUCUGUGUGCACGAAGAAGGUUUUCGGAUUGUAAAGUGCUUUCAGCAGGGAAGAAGUAAGUGACGGUACCUGCAGAAGAAGCGACGGCUAAAUACGUG